UGGCAAGGUCGAGCGAACAGAUGAGAAGCUUGCUUCUCUGAUGUUAGCGGCGGACGGGUGAGUAACACGUGGGUAACCUACCUAUAAGACUGGGAUAACUCCGGGAAACCGGGGCUAAUACCGGAUAAUAUUUUGAACCGCAUGGUUCAAUAGUGAAAGACGGUUUCGGCUGUCACUUAUAGAUGGACCCGCGCCGUAUUAGCUAGUUGGUAAGGUAACGGCUUACCAAGGCGACGAUACGUAGCCGACCUGAGAGGGUGAUCGGCCACACUGGAACUGAGACACGGUCCAGACUCCUACGGGAGGCAGCAGUAGGGAAUCUUCCGCAAUGGGCGAAAGCCUGACGGAGCAACGCCGCGUGAGUGAUGAAGGUCUUCGGAUCGUAAAACUCUGUUGGUAGGGAAGAACAAAUUUGUUAGUAACUGAACAAGUCUUGACGGUACCUAACCAGAAAGCCACGGCUAACUACGUGCCAGCAGCCGCGGUAAUACGUAGGUGGCAAGCGUUAUCCGGAAUUAUUGGGCGUAAAGCGCGCGUAGGCGGUUUCUUAAGUCUGAUGUGAAAGCCCACGGCUCAACCGUGGAGGGUCAUUGGAAACUGGGAAACUUGAGUGCAGAAGAGGAGAGUGGAAUUCCAUGUGUAGCGGUGAAAUGCGCAGAGAUAUGGAGGAACACCAGUGGCGAAGGCGGCUCUCUGGUCUGUAACUGACGCUGAUGUGCGAAAGCGUGGGGAUCAAACAGGAUUAGAUACCCUGGUAGUCCACGCCGUAAACGAUGAGUGCUAAGUGUUAGGGGGUUUCCGCCCCUUAGUGCUGCAGCUAACGCAUUAAGCACUCCGCCUGGGGAGUACGACCGCAAGGUUGAAACUCAAAGGAAUUGACGGGGACCCGCACAAGCGGUGGAGCAUGUGGUUUAAUUCGAAGCAACGCGAAGAACCUUACCAAAUCUUGACAUCCUUUGACCGCUCUAGAGAUAGAGUCUUCCCCUUCGGGGGACAAAGUGACAGGUGGUGCAUGGUUGUCGUCAGCUCGUGUCGUGAGAUGUUGGGUUAAGUCCCGCAACGAGCGCAACCCUUAAGCUUAGUUGCCAUCAUUAAGUUGGGCACUCUAGGUUGACUGCCGGUGACAAACCGGAGGAAGGUGGGGAUGACGUCAAAUCAUCAUGCCCCUUAUGAUUUGGGCUACACACGUGCUACAAUGGAUAAUACAAAGGGCAGCGAAUCCGCGAGGCCAAGCAAAUCCCAUAAAAUUAUUCUCAGUUCGGAUUGUAGUCUGCAACUCGACUACAUGAAGCUGGAAUCGCUAGUAAUCGUAGAUCAGCAUGCUACGGUGAAUACGUUCCCGGGUCUUGUACACACCGCCCGUCACACCACGAGAGUUUGUAACACCCGAAGCCGGUGGAGUAACCUUUUAGGAGCUAGCCGU
Molecule: ribosomal RNA, 1423 nt
Filed under: Mammaliicoccus sciuri
Lineage: Bacteria; Bacillati; Bacillota; Bacilli; Caryophanales; Staphylococcaceae
Description: bacterial SSU rRNA
Rfam family: Bacterial small subunit ribosomal RNA
Source: RNAcentral